This 228-nucleotide unclassified non-coding RNA is filed under the name Hevea brasiliensis (rubber tree). The record is from RNAcentral. Lineage: Eukaryota; Viridiplantae; Streptophyta; Magnoliopsida; Malpighiales; Euphorbiaceae.
AGCAGUUCAUUUGAAAAGUAACACAUAGAAAUAUCACACAGACAACUAACAAUGACAGCUAGGGCAGAAGAGGGGAAAGGUAACAGAACUCUACCAAGCAGCAUACCUACUAUCAGUACGAGAUGAUUUAUUCCCUCACAUCUCCUGCUGCUGGUCGUCCUCUUCAUCCUCAUAAUCGCCCUCCUCAUCAACAGUAGCAUCUUGGUACUGCUGAUACUCGGAGACGAG